RNAcentral lists this ribosomal RNA (484 nucleotides) under uncultured bacterium. RNAcentral describes it as "partial 16S ribosomal RNA". It matches the Rfam family "Bacterial small subunit ribosomal RNA", at positions 29 to 507 of the family's 1533-position model. The record is from RNAcentral.
AUUGAACGCUGGCGGCAUGCUUUACACAUGCAAGUCGAACGGCAGCGCGGGCUUCGGCCUGGCGGCGAGUGGCGAACGGGUGAGUAAUACAUCGGAACGUGCCCAGUCGUGGGGGAUAGCUCGGCGAAAGCCGGAUUAAUACCGCAUACGACCUGAGGGUGAAAGCGGGGGAUCUUCGGACCUCGCGCUAUUGGAGCGGCCGAUGGCAGAUUAGCUAGUUGGUGGGGUAAAGGCCUACCAAGGCGACGAUCUGUAGCUGGUCUGAGAGGACGACCAGCCACACUGGGACUGAGACACGGCCCAGACUCCUACGGGAGGCAGCAGUAGGGAAUUUUGGACAAUGGGCGAAAGCCUGAUCCAGCAAUGCCGCGUGUGUGAUGAAGGCCUUCGGGUUGUAAAGCACUUUUGGCGGGAACGAAAAGGACUGUGCCAAUACCACGGUUCGAUGACGGUACCCGCAGAAUAAGCACCGGCUAACUACGUG